This is an RNA transcript of Nicotiana tabacum (common tobacco), 1258 nucleotides long. RefSeq lists it as uncharacterized. The record is from RefSeq and is a predicted model, not a curated record. NCBI's taxonomy places the organism in Eukaryota, Viridiplantae, Streptophyta, Magnoliopsida, Solanales, Solanaceae.
CCAAUUUUUUCCUCUUUUUUGAUCCUUUCCCUCUUUUUUCCCAAACCCCUCCCUCACUUUCACUAAAGAGAAGCUUUUCAGCUUCCAUUUUCUUUCACUUGAAAAAUUAAAACCCUCACUUGAAGAUUAAACCCUCACUUGACAAAUUCACAAUACGUUCUCCACAAUAUGAAAGAUUAAAAAGUUUUUUGACCGUUCAAUUACUUGGGUUCACGCUUGGACCGUCACUGAUGCAAAUGUUUUCUUUCUUCCCCAUUCUAUGAAAGAGAUUCACAACGAUGAGUUUGAUCGUGGGUUCAUAUCUAUGUGAGAGUAACAACAAUUUUUGUUGAAUCGGUGUAUUUUGAAGAAGUAUAUAACAAUCUCUUUUGAAUUCGAGAUAACUCCCGAGGACCUUCAUAGAAGACGCAAUUUCCACUAGCUGCUAUUCCUCUUUCUGCUCUACAUGGUGCUUGAAUCAAUCUCAAGCCUCGAUUUUGUUUUAGGACAACUGAGUCAAAUGCAAGACGAUAUGUUUAUAAUUCUAUGUGUAAGAACUGGGGCGCAAAAAGGCUAAAGUUGUUUGAUAAGGCCUAUGAUCCACUUAAGAGCAGAGCUGAGAUAAUGGAUAGUGUUCCACUGGGGAUUCCACCGGAUCAAUGGAUUUCUUAUGUUGAUUAUCGCUUUAAAGAAAAAACACAGGAAAAAAUUGAACUAGCAUUAAGCCAAAGCACCGUGGAUGAGUCUGAAAUUUCGCCAUUUUGUGUUGGGAAAAGAGCACUCUGGAAGGGUAAGGUGCUUAGGAUUAGGAGCUGUUCCUGGCAGGGCUUUUAGACAAACAAGACUUCGUUACAGAGAAAUGAUGAAUGUUAACACUCAAAUGAUGAAUGCUUUUAAGACGUAUAUGAUAAUGAAAGAAGGGAAGAUACCUGAAGAAUUUGCAGGGAUAUUUGUUUCUCCUCCUCGUUCAACGCCAAGUGAUGCGGCUAGCGGAUCCAUUUCACCCAUGGAUAUAAGAAGAUCAUCCGGUGGAAGUAAUCCUAACGACAACCAUUGAAAUUGCUUGCAAAUGUAUUAGAUAAUUAAGUAUCGUACUCGCUUGAAUGGUCAUAGUAGAUCUUUUGUCCAUAAUGGUUGGAGUGGAUGUUCUGUUUAAAGUUAGUUUUAAGACUAAUUAUAAUAUUGAUGUUUUGUGUUUAAUGGUUGGAGUAGUUGUAUUUAAAGCAAAUUUUUGAGACUAAUGAUAAUUUACUUUAAUGUAUUUUGUGGUUUAUUAAUA